AAAAAAACAUGCUUCAAAACGAUAUAUCAUAAGCUGGGAGAAUCGGACACAAAGAUCCUGUCGUUGAGCCGUUUUCCCUCGUUUUAUGCGGGUACUUAUCAUGUUGUUGGUAGAUGAUAACCCUAGCGUCAUAGGUUUUCUCAAAAAUGGAUUCUCCUGAAAGCAAUCGCAUCCCUGCCAAGUCGUCACCAUCUCCGGCUGUCCAAGGAUCCCCUUUUUUCAAUUACAUUAGCAAUCUCUCUCCUAUAAGGUCCGCGAAGGCAGCAAGAUACGUACAUAGUUUUUCACAAACUAACUUUGCUAUCCCACCGCCGCCGGUGUUCACAUCACCCCGUAUAGAUCCGCAGCGAGAGACAAGUUUCAGAGGAGAAAUAGAUGCAGCAGGUUCUGACCUCUAUCGACAAAGUGAUACCCAUCUGAAGCCUGAGCCGAUUCAUUGCUUUCAAAAAGAAGAUCAGUCUUGCAGUCCUUCAGGAUGCAUUGAUGAAUAUCUGGCUGAUCUUGUGGAUAUGGAAGACACUACAAAAUCAUCUGAUCUGUGCGCACAAUCAAGGAAUGAUAAGCCCAUGAUCUUGGAACGGUUCACUAGUCACAAAGAUACCAUCAACAAAGACUACAAUCAUGUUGAUUCCCAUAUGUUUCUAGGCUCUUUUUCUGGAUCACAACAUCAUGAGAAAUUUUUGCCUCAGAGCAUUGAGACAUAUAAUGAUUUUGUUGAUAGUUCAAGGUCAGCUUUGAGAGUAGCAGCUAAGGUAAAAAUUAUAGUCUAUCAUCAUCAUUUGGAUAAUGGUAUCACCUGUGUUGGGUGGUUGUGUCAAAAUUUAUACCCCCCUAUACAGUGAAAGGUAGUGCUACAUUUUCCACUUGCUUUAUUUUACAUCGUUAUGGUCUCUAUGUGGUGCUGAAUUUUGAUUUAAAGUUCCUUGUUCUAAUACUUGUUACUUGGUUUGGUAAUGUUAGACUAAUCUUAUGGAUUAAAUCAAUGAUUUAAUAUUACUGCACAGAGUACUUGUUCUUAAGUUCUGUUCGAAACAACUUUUUAAUACGGUAAUACCUAUGUCCUUCAUUAUUUGAUUUAGUACAGAAACUUAUUCAGGUAAAUUUUCUUAAUUUUACUUGUGAAAGAAUCACUUUUUUUUUCUGUACCGUGUAACCACUGCCAAAAGGAAUCUUCUUCUUUUUCCUAAUUUUCAGAGUUUCUAACAAUAGAUAAGUUUUAUCUUCAAAUGUAUAGGAUGCUGAUCAGCAUCAACGUGGUAUACGAAGACAUCUUCAAUUUGGGGUGACAAUGUCCUGCAAGGAUACUGGCAAUGAGAAUCAUGAUACCAACAAUUUAAGCCUACCUGAAGGCCUUACACACUUUGGGAGUCUGGUUUCAUAUCACACUGAACCAAGUGGGAUCUCCAACAGUUGGGGGGCGGACAGUCGUGCCCAGACUGUAACUUUCCUGUCCUCCUCCUGCCCAUCUCAAUCUGUUAUACCAGCUGAAAAUUGUGGAAACCAUAAUAUAUCAGCUUGUACUCCAUCUGAUUUAGCAUUGCCUUCAAUUGGCGUCAUCAGAUCUGACUCAAUGGGCUUAGAUUCAAAUGCAAGCCAAAAGUUGGUUGACAAACUGCAUGCACGAGAGGAGAAGCUAAUAGCUGUUAG
Molecule: unclassified non-coding RNA, 1647 nt
Filed under: Hevea brasiliensis (rubber tree)
Lineage: Eukaryota; Viridiplantae; Streptophyta; Magnoliopsida; Malpighiales; Euphorbiaceae
Source: RNAcentral